AAUAGUACGCCGGAUGAACGGAAAUCAGUGAUAUUGGUUUUAUAAAAGCCGUUGGAGUUUUUUAGUAUUA
RNAcentral lists this transfer RNA (70 nucleotides) under Sinotaia quadrata. Its description in RNAcentral is "tRNA-Ile". The record is from RNAcentral. Lineage: Eukaryota; Metazoa; Mollusca; Gastropoda; Architaenioglossa; Viviparidae.